GGCCUACCANGNUGGUAACGGGUAACGGGGAAUUAGGGUUCGAUUCCGGAGAGGGAGCCUGAGAAACGGCUACCACUUCCAAGGAAGGCAGCAGGCGCGCAAAUUACCCAAUCCCGACACGGGGAGGUAGUGACAAUAAAUAACAAUACGGGGCUCUUUCGGGUCUCGUAAUUGGAAUGAGUACAAUUUAAAUCCCUUAACGAGGAACAAUUGGAGGGCAAGUCUGGUGCCAGCAGCCGCGGUAAUUCCAGCUCCAAUAGCGUAUAUUAAAGUUGUUGCAGUUAAAAAGCUCGUAGUUGAAUUUCGGGAUUGACGUAAUGGUCAUGCCUUAAGGGGUAUGAACUGUUACUGUUGAUUUCUCACCUUCUGGAGAAACUUGAUGUCCUUUAUUGGGUGUCUUGCGGAUCCAGGACCUUUACCUUGAAAAAAUUAGAGUGUUUAAAGCAGGCAUUUUUGCUCGAAUACAUUAGCAUGGAAUAAUAGAAUAGGACGGCAUGGUUCUAUUUUGUUGGUUUCUAGGAUCACCGUAAUGAUUAAUAGGGAUAGUUGGGGGCAUUAGUAUUCAAUUGUCAGAGGUGAAAUUCUUGGAUUUAUUGAAGACUAACUACUGCGAAAGCAUUUGCCAAGGAUGUUUUCAUUAAUCAAGAACGAAAGUUAGGGGAUCGAAGACGAUCAGAUACCGUCGUAGUCUUAACCAUAAACUAUGCCGACUAGGAAUCAGACGAUGUUAAUUUUUUAAUGACUCGUUUGGCACCUUACGGGAAACCAAAGUGUUUGGGUUC
RNAcentral lists this ribosomal RNA (782 nucleotides) under uncultured Entrophospora. RNAcentral's name for it is "SSU rRNA". It matches the Rfam family "Eukaryotic small subunit ribosomal RNA", at positions 338 to 1114 of the family's 1831-position model. The record is from RNAcentral. Lineage: Eukaryota; Fungi; Glomeromycota; Glomeromycetes; Entrophosporales; Entrophosporaceae.